Molecule: non-coding RNA, 73 nt
Organism: Phrynosoma platyrhinos (Desert horned lizard)
Lineage: Eukaryota; Metazoa; Chordata; Lepidosauria; Squamata; Phrynosomatidae
Source: the annotation of a GenBank genome assembly
GGCAGAGCAAGUGUAGUGGUUUGAGUGUUGGAUUAAUGCUCUAGAGACCAGGGUUUGAUUCCCCUCUCUGCCA